RNAcentral lists this transfer RNA (75 nucleotides) under bacterium. RNAcentral's name for it is "tRNA-Cys". It matches the Rfam family "tRNA". From Rfam's summary of the family: Transfer RNA (tRNA) molecules are approximately 80 nucleotides in length. Their secondary structure includes four short double-helical elements and three loops (D, anti-codon, and T loops). RNAcentral also lists the same sequence under 1 other name. The record is from RNAcentral.
GGCCCGGUGGCGAAGUGGUAACGCGACGGUCUGCAAAACCGUUAUGCGCGGGUUCAAUUCCCGCCCGGGCCUCCA